RNAcentral lists this ribosomal RNA (119 nucleotides) under Triticum dicoccoides. Lineage: Eukaryota; Viridiplantae; Streptophyta; Magnoliopsida; Poales; Poaceae. The record is from RNAcentral.
GGAUGCGAUCAUACUAGCACUAAAGCAUCGGAUCGCAUGAGAACUCUGAAGUUAAGCGUGCUUGGGCGAGAGUAGUACUAGGAUGGGUGACCUCCUGGGAAGUCCUCGUGUUGCAUUCC